Molecule: long non-coding RNA, 961 nt
Organism: Bos taurus (domestic cattle)
Lineage: Eukaryota; Metazoa; Chordata; Mammalia; Artiodactyla; Bovidae
Source: Ensembl
GGUGCACCUCAGGGGCCGAGCAGGAACCAGUCCUCUGAGUUGGGCGAGCGGAGCAGAGAAGGAGGGAGCCAUUCAUCAGGGAGCCAUUCUGGGCUCCAACCUGGGACCCAGCAACCAUGAACAAGGAAGAGAAAGAGAAAAAGGUGCCACCAGACUUCUGGAAACAUAAGUGGCCAUGAUCUUAUGGCCUGUCAUCACUGGACAGUGGCUGCAACCCCAUGGCUGGACAAAGGCCUCCAGCUUUCUCCCUGGCUCUCCAGUUUCCUCCACAUGGCAGUCAAGGGAAUCCUGCUCAAAGAAGCCACAUCACCGUCUUGCACACAAACCUUCUGUGGCUCCCCAGUACCCUGAGGAUAAACCCCAUGCACAUUGCUUUGGACCAUGCAGGGGCAGAAGCCCAACAGUGGUGGCUGACAGCAAGGACCCUCCGAGCAGCAGUCUGCAAACUGGCUGGCGGCGUAUGACUCUGGACAAGUACCAGAAACUCCUUGGGUCUCAAGUCUUUUUAUCAGUAAAAUGGACCUAACAGUCAUAGCUACCCAUUGUACUGGCAGAGAUCAGGGCUAAGGGAGGAAAUGUAGGGAAAUGUUCAGAAUGUGCAUGGUACAUGGAACGCCCUCAGUAUGGGUGACUUGCUAUAAUAGUAAUUUCUGCCAGGCCCUGUAGGGGCUGUCUACCACCAAGGCCCACAUCAUCUCCCUCCACCUGUGACACCCUAGCACUCCAGCCAUCUGACUUGCCUUGCUCUCCACACCCUCUUGCAUGUCCUCCUUUAUCCCUUCCUCCAUUUCCCUCCUCCCUAUCUUUCAUUCCCUGGCUGUAAACUGGGCAUCUCUGACUCCUAUUGUCCUGGGGCUUCCCCUCCCCCACAGAUCCUACCAUGCCUGGUGGUGAGUCUCUCCCCCCAUUCAGAUCUCUGAUUCCAGACCCCUUACAGCUUAAUCCUUGGGGCUGGUAGGUA